Molecule: transfer RNA, 84 nt
Filed under: Felis catus (domestic cat)
Lineage: Eukaryota; Metazoa; Chordata; Mammalia; Carnivora; Felidae
Rfam family: tRNA
About the family: Transfer RNA (tRNA) molecules are approximately 80 nucleotides in length. Their secondary structure includes four short double-helical elements and three loops (D, anti-codon, and T loops).
Source: Rfam by way of RNAcentral
GCCUGGGUGGCUCAGUCGGUUAAGCGUCCGACUUCGGCUCAGGUCAUGAUCUCCAGUUCGUGGGUUCGAGCCCCGCAUCAGGCU